AAUCUCUGCUCUACCUGUUCUUUGUCCCUGAAGGUCUUGUAAGUAGGAUAUGGCAGAAACCUCUGGGACAUGGGAGAGGAAACUAUGUCCUGAUUUAGAAAUAAAGAAUUCUUUGAAUUAGAACACAGAGCAAAAGGAGGAUCCCAGGAUUGCUGUAUAUGAAGGAUUGAGGAGAAAGCCGGAGGUACUACUUUGACUCACAUUCUACCCAAUGGGAACUCUGAGGAAGCCUAUAGAAGGCCAUGAAAGAAAGAAGACUUUGCUCUUUGCCUGCUUUCCCUCACCUUGCUAACGAAUCUACUCCUUCACUGGCAUUAGAGCCUACUUUGGGAUUGUGGCCAUCUACUGAACCAGCGAAGACAUCCAGCCUCAUGGACUGAGCAACUCUUUGAUUCUUGGAAUUUCUGUUCAUAGCCAGACAUUGUUACAUUAGCUGUACUGCAGCCUGUACAUUGCUCUUAAAAACGCCCCUUCUACAUACAUAUGUAUAUAAAUUCAUUCUAUAAAUUCUUUUACUCUAGAGAACUCUAAUUAAAAUAACAGGCAUACUAGUUAAGACUAUGGAUUAAAAGUUUGUGCUUCUCCAAUUUCUCUUCCUAGUCUAGUUUCAGAUUUCUCUGUGUCCAAUCAUAUUGCCUUCUAUGUCCUAUGGUCUUCCAAACUGUCUUGACUUCCAAUUGAGUGUGAUCAAAACAGAAGACUGAGAAAAGUCAGAACAUUA
Long non-coding RNA from Psammomys obesus (fat sand rat), 721 nucleotides. RefSeq lists it as uncharacterized. NCBI's taxonomy places the organism in Eukaryota, Metazoa, Chordata, Mammalia, Rodentia, Muridae. The transcript is spliced from 3 exons. The record is from RefSeq and is a predicted model, not a curated record.